RNAcentral lists this ribosomal RNA (497 nucleotides) under uncultured bacterium. RNAcentral describes it as "partial 16S ribosomal RNA". It matches the Rfam family "Bacterial small subunit ribosomal RNA", at positions 28 to 507 of the family's 1533-position model. The record is from RNAcentral.
GAUGAACGCUGGCGGCGUGCCUAAUACAUGCAAGUCGAGCGAACGGACGAGAAGCUUGCUUCUCUGAUGUUAUCGGCGGACGGGUGAGUAACACGUGGAUAACCUACCUAUAAGACUGGGAUAACUUCGGGAAACCGGAGCUAAUACCGGAUAAUAUUUUGAACCGCAUGGUUCAAAAGUGAAAGACGGUCUUGCUGUCACUUAUAGAUGGAUCCGCGCUGCAUUAGCUAGUUGGUACGGUAACGGCUUACCAAGGCAACGAUGCAUAGCCGACCUGAGAGGGUGAUCGGCCACACUGGAACUGAGACACGGUCCAGACUCCUACGGGAGGCAGCAGUAGGGAAUCUUCCGCAAUGGGCGAAAGCCUGACGGAGCAACGCCGCGUGAGUGAUGAAGGUCUUCGGUUCGUAAAACUCUGUUAUUAGGGAAGAACAUAUGUGUCAGUAAAUGUGCACAUCUUGACGGUACCUAAUCAGAAAGACACGGCUAACUACGUG